RNAcentral lists this ribosomal RNA (254 nucleotides) under uncultured bacterium. RNAcentral's name for it is "partial 16S ribosomal RNA". It matches the Rfam family "Bacterial small subunit ribosomal RNA", at positions 524 to 776 of the family's 1533-position model. The record is from RNAcentral.
CACGUAGGGACCAAGCGUUGUCCGGAUUUAUUGGGCGUAAAGAGCUCGUAGGCGGUUUGGUAAGUCGGGUGUGAAACCUCCAGGCUCAACCUGGUGACGCCACCCGAUACUGCUAUGACUUGAGUUCGGUAGGGGAGCGGGGAAUUCCUGGUGUAGCGGUGAAAUGCGCAGAUAUCAGGAGGAACACCGGUGGCGAAGGCGCCGCUCUGGGCCGAAACUGACGCUGAGGAGCGAAAGCGUGGGGAGCAAACAGG